Molecule: ribosomal RNA, 471 nt
Filed under: uncultured bacterium
Lineage: Bacteria
Description: bacterial SSU rRNA
Rfam family: Bacterial small subunit ribosomal RNA
Source: RNAcentral
GUUAAAGGGUGUGGCUCAACCAUGCAUUGCCGUUGAAACUGGCGAUCUUGAGUGCAGACAGGGAUGCCGGAAUUCGUGGUGUAGCGGUGAAAUGCUUAGAUAUCACGAAGAACUCCGAUCGCGAAGGCAGGUGUCCGGGCUGCAACUGACGCUGAGGCUCGAAAGUGUGGGUAUCAAACAGGAUUAGAUACCCUGGUAGUCCACACAGUAAACGAUGUAUACUCGCGGUUUGCGAUAGACAGUAGGCCGCCAAGCGAAAGCAUUAAGUAUACCACCUGGGGAGUACGCCGGCAACGGUGAAACUCAAAGGAAUUGACGGGGGCCCGCACAAGCGGAGGAACAUGUGGUUUAAUUCGAUGAUACGCGAGGAACCUUACCCGGGAUUGAACUAACGGUGACGGAUCUAGAGAUAGAUUUUUCUUCGGACACCGUUGGAGGUGCUGCAUGGUUGUCGUCAGCUCGUGUCGUGAG